GAGCAGGUGCGAAAGCAGGUCAUAGUGAUCCGGUGGUUCUGAAUGGAAGGGCCAUCGCUCAACGGAUAAAAGGUACUCCGGGGAUAACAGGCUGAUACCGCCCAAGAGUUCAUAUCGACGGCGGUGUUUGGCACCUCGAUGUCGGCUCAUCACAUCCUGGGGCUGAAGUAGGUCCCAAGGGUAUGGCUGUUCGCCAUUUAAAGUGGUACGCGAGCUGGGUUUAGAACGUCGUGAGACAGUUCGGUCCCUAUCUGCCGUGGGCGCUGGAGAACUGAGGGGGGCUGCUCCUAGUACGAGAGGACCGGAGUGGACGCAUCACUGGUGUUCGGGUUGUCAUGCCAAUGGCACUGCCCGGUAGCUAAAUGCGGAAGAGAUAAGUGCUGAAAGCAUCUAAGCACGAAACUUGCCCCGAGAUGAGUUCUCCCUGAGACUUUAGGUCUCCUGAAGGAACGUUGAAGACGACGACGUUGAUAGGCCGGGUGUGUAAGCGCAGCGAUGCGUUGAGCUAACCGGUACUAAUGAACCGUGAGGCUUAACCUUACAACGCCGAAG
Molecule: ribosomal RNA, 552 nt
Filed under: Salmonella enterica subsp. enterica serovar Paratyphi A str. SA19950809
Lineage: Bacteria; Pseudomonadati; Pseudomonadota; Gammaproteobacteria; Enterobacterales; Enterobacteriaceae
Description: bacterial LSU rRNA
Rfam family: Bacterial large subunit ribosomal RNA
Source: RNAcentral